Molecule: ribosomal RNA, 433 nt
Filed under: uncultured bacterium
Lineage: Bacteria
Description: partial 16S ribosomal RNA
Rfam family: Bacterial small subunit ribosomal RNA
Source: RNAcentral
AACGAACGCUGGCGGCAUGCCUAACACAUGCAAGUCGAACGAGACCUUCGGGUCUAGUGGCGCACGGGUGCGUAACGCGUGGGAACCUUCCCUUAGGUUCGGAAUAACUCCCCGAAAGGGGUGCUAAUACCGGAUAAUGUCUUCGGACCAAAGAUUUAUCGCCUUUGGAUGUGCCCGCGUGGAAUUAGCUAGUUGGUAGGGUAAAAGCCUACCAAGGCGACGAUUAAUAGCUGGUCUGAGAGGAUGAUCAGCGACACUGGGAGUGAGACACGGCCCAGACUCCUACGGGAGGCAGCAGUGGGGAAUAUUGGACAAUGGGCGAAAGCCUGAUCCACCAAUGCCGCGUGAGUGAUGAAGGCCUUAGGGUUGUAAAGCUCUUUUACCCGGGAUGAUAAUGACAGUACCGGGAGAAUAAGCUCCGGCUAACUCCGUG